This is a long non-coding RNA of Oncorhynchus tshawytscha (Chinook salmon), 1052 nucleotides long. The record is from Ensembl. Lineage: Eukaryota; Metazoa; Chordata; Actinopteri; Salmoniformes; Salmonidae.
CGGCAUAGAGCGGUGGAGCUAUUAGCUCCGCGCUGCAGACAUCAUUAGGAGUGGAGGGAGACAAUUCCACCGUCAGCGCAGGAACAGGAAGCCCUGGCAACAAGGAGAACACCGCUCUUACCAGACCAUUACACCGUACAAGCCCCAUGUCCUGGGUAGAGAGCCCAGCCCCAGAGGUAGCUAUGUCCUGGGGAGAGAGCCCAGCCCCGGAGGUAGCUAUGUCCUGGGGAGAGAGCCCAGCCCCGGAGGUAGCCAUGUCCUGGAGAGAGAGCCCAGCCCCGGAGGUAGCCAUGUCCUGGGGAGAGAGCCCAGCCCCGGAGCUAGCUAUGUCCUGGGGAGAGAGCCCAGCCCUGGAGGUAGCUAUGUCCUGGGGAGAGAGCCCAGCCCCGGAGGUAACCAUGUCCUUGGGAGGUAGCUAUGUCCUGGGGAGAGAGCCCAACCCCUGAGGUAACCAUGUCCUUGGGAGGUAGCUAUGUCCUGGGGAGGUAGCUAUGUCGUUGGGAGGUAGCUAUGUCCUGGGGAGGUAGCUAUGUCCUGGGGAGGUAGCUAUGUCCUGGGGAGAGAGCCCAACCCCGGAGGUAACCAUGUCCUUGGGAGGUAGCUAUGUCCUGGGGAGGUAGCUAUGUCCUGGGGAGGGAGCUAUAUCCUGGGGAGGUACUGUAGCUAUGUCCUGGGGAGGUAGCUAUGUCCUGGGGAGGUAGCUAUGUCCUGGGGAGCCCAGCCCCAGGAGAGAAGAGGGGGGGCAACAGAGAGAGAGAGAAACAGAGAGAGAAAAAGGGAGAGUAAGAUGGAAAGAAACCACCUAAAAGGAAGCGAUUCCCAACUCUUCCAUAUCAAAGCCAUCACCUAAAGAGAGAUGAACCUGGAGAAGAGCCCCCUAAGCAAGCUGGUCCUGGGGCUCUGUUCACAAACACAAACAGACACCACAGAGCCCCAGGACAGCAGCACAAUUAGACCUAACCAAAUCAUGAGACAACAAAAAGAUAAUUACUUGACACAUUGGAAAGAAUUAACAAAAAACAGAGCAAACUAGAAUGUUAUUUGGUCCUAAA